GGGCGCAUCAGCACUUUCAUUUGUCUCACAUGGCUCGGUUUCCAAGCCUCUCCCCGCGCUCUUACACAACUCACCAUGAGGUCACCGUUGCUCCUCACGUCCGCACCCAAAGACAGAGGAACGACGAAGGGCUCGGUUACUUUGCAAAUACAUGUCGGUUCAGCUGAUUGGAUUGUUGGGCAAUGGUGUCAGAUUUCUGUUCCUAGAAACAAAGACAGGGAGCGAGAGGGAUUUGGACCCGAUGCUUAAGCUGUCAACCGAGUUUUGGACAUAUAUUUAGUGAACCUGAAGUUAGGAACAGUUCAGGGUGAGUAUGAAGCAUGCAGCUGUCGUCGAGAGCCGGUCCCGGAGAGGCAAUAAUCAGCAGAGGUUACAGACGCAUUGCCUCACCCAAAGCCCGAGGCUAAGCUGCAAUGAGUUGGAAUGAGCCCAGAUGAGAGGGAGGAAUCUGAACUGCUGGGACACUCCUCCAGUUCAAACAUACACUUUUACAACAGGGGAUUUUUUUUGGCAUAUGACCCGUUUCUAGAAACAGUUUUUCUUCAUUCCAUCAUGUAAAACAUAAUAGUCUAAUCAUUAAUCUUGCUAGAACUCUAUACUAAUACUGCGGAUUGUAUGUUUGAUUAUGAGCUUAGUUAAAAACAAAUAAAAACAAAAAGGAGUA
Long non-coding RNA from Pseudoliparis swirei, 664 nucleotides. RefSeq lists it as uncharacterized. The transcript is spliced from 2 exons. The record is from RefSeq and is a predicted model, not a curated record. NCBI's taxonomy places the organism in Eukaryota, Metazoa, Chordata, Actinopteri, Perciformes, Liparidae.